AUUCCAGUGCCCUGCUCAAGGUGGAUUUUACGCCAUUCCUGGAACCUGCGGAGGCAACUACUACUCUUGCAUCAACGGAGUUGCCUAUGUGUUGACCUGUCCUGGAAGUUCCAUUUUUGAUCCGGCGGUGGGCGUUUGCGUCCCGAAAGAAGUUGCGUCAUGUCUUGAUGAAACUUCCACACCUGUCUCGACUGUAUCGCCUACGCCUACGCCUACAUCGACGACGACUACUACUCAAUCCCCCGGCACAUUUAUCUGUCCCAGUGAAUUCGGAUUCUUUCCCACUGGUAUCCCAUGUGACGAUGAUUUCUGGAGAUGCUCCAACGGUCUAUCUUAUCUCAUGAGCUGUCCACCAACUACCAUUUGGUAUCAAGAUCAGACAAUCUGUGACUACCCGUACAACGUUCCGGGCUGCGCUUAACCAAAAUUGUCACUGGUCGUCGCCAUCAUAUAAGCCCCUAAAGAUUCAAUUAUAAAAGAUUCCAGUACGAAAAUAAUUCCCAAAAAUUCAAAUGCCGAUCAAUAAAGAUUUGACAUUAUAAACAUAGUAUGCAGAACAAAAAGAGGAUGUUUAAAAAGAAAACAUUUAUUAUUAGAUUUGAUGCGAAGCUUUUAUAAAAUUCUGAAUACAUGUGAGUCGCUCUUCAA
This 648-nucleotide unclassified non-coding RNA is filed under the name Daphnia pulicaria. RNAcentral describes it as "chondroitin proteoglycan 1-like, transcript variant X1". Lineage: Eukaryota; Metazoa; Arthropoda; Branchiopoda; Diplostraca; Daphniidae. The record is from RNAcentral.